Molecule: ribosomal RNA, 372 nt
Filed under: uncultured organism
Description: partial 16S ribosomal RNA
Rfam family: Bacterial small subunit ribosomal RNA
Source: RNAcentral
GUAGGUGGCAAGCGUUGUCCGGAAUUAUUGGGCGUAAAGCGCGCGCAGGCGGUCCUUUAAGUCUGAUGUGAAAGCCCACGGCUCAACCGUGGAGGGUCAUUGGAAACUGGGGGACUUGAGUACAGAAGAGGAAAGCGGAAUUCCAAGUGUAGCGGUGAAAUGCGUAGAGAUUUGGAGGAACACCAGUGGCGAAGGCGGCUUUCUGGUCUGUAACUGACGCUGAGGCGCGAAAGCGUGGGGAGCAACCAGGGAUUAGAUACCCUGGUAGUCCACGCCGUAAACGAUGAGUGCUAAGUGUUAGGGGGUUUCCGCCCCCUUAGUGCUGCAGCUAACGCAUUAAGCACUCCGCCUGGGGAUACGGCCGCAAGGCUG